GUUUCUGUAGUGUAGUGGUUAUCACGUUUGCCUAACACGCGAAAGGUCCCCUGUUCGAAAGGUCCCCUGUUCGAAACUGGGUGGAAACA
Molecule: transfer RNA, 89 nt
Filed under: Pelodiscus sinensis (Chinese soft-shelled turtle)
Lineage: Eukaryota; Metazoa; Chordata; Testudines; Trionychidae
Rfam family: tRNA
About the family: Transfer RNA (tRNA) molecules are approximately 80 nucleotides in length.
Source: Rfam by way of RNAcentral